ACCAAGGCUACGAUCCGUAGCUGGUCUGAGAGGAUGAUCAGCCACACUGGGACUGAGACACGGCCCAGACUCCUACGGGAGGCAGCAGUGGGGAAUAUUGCACAAUGGGCGAAAGCCUGAUGCAGCCAUGCCGCGUGUGUGAAGAAGGCUCUAGGGUUGUAAAGCACUUUCAGUAGGGAGGAACAGCUUAAGACUAAUACUCUUGAGCCUUGACGUUACCUACAGAAGAAGCACCGGCAAACUCCGUGCCAGCAGCCGCGGUAAUACGGAGGGUGCGAGCGUUAAUCGGAAUUACUGGGCGUAAAGCGCGCGUAGGUGGUUUGAUAAGCUAGCUGUGAAAGCCCCGGGCUCAACCUGGGAACUGCAGUUAGAACUGUCUGGCUAGAGUACAGUAGAGGGUGGCGGAAUUUCCUGUGUAGCGGUGAAAUGCGUAGAUAUAGGAAGGAACAUCAGUGGCGAA
RNAcentral lists this ribosomal RNA (460 nucleotides) under uncultured bacterium. Its description in RNAcentral is "bacterial SSU rRNA". It matches the Rfam family "Bacterial small subunit ribosomal RNA", at positions 267 to 719 of the family's 1533-position model. The record is from RNAcentral.